Molecule: long non-coding RNA, 1416 nt
Organism: Oreochromis niloticus (Nile tilapia)
Lineage: Eukaryota; Metazoa; Chordata; Actinopteri; Cichliformes; Cichlidae
Exons: 3
Source: RefSeq, a predicted model, not a curated record
CAUUCAGGGAGGGCGGGAGAAUGGAGCGAGGAGAGAGGUGUCCUGAGCAGUGCCUGACUAGAAAGGCGAGCACAGCGGAAAACAAACGGCGUAACGGUGAAAAUUAACGGUUCACCGGGCGGUGUCCGGCAGCUGCACGUGUUAACACAGAUAGUUAAUGAGUCUAAUAAAGUUUCAGCAAGAGACGUUUGAAUUGAACGUUUGUUUCCCUCAGAGGGAGCGUGAACUCGUCCCCUUAGUGUGUGGGAUUUUAUACCCUCAGUGUUGCACUGAAGGAAAUAUAAACUCCCUAUAUCCGAUCAUAUCCUCCAGGAUGACAGAUAAAUCCAAAUAAAUCAUUUAGGUGAAUGGUGGGGAAGUUUUAGGAUCAGUAGAGAUGUGACGUUUGUUGGCCUCUCAGAGCAGAAAAGGUCCUGAGAGGUGAAACGAGAUCAGUGAUGGCUCACGUUUCCUCCCACAUACGUGUGGUUUUCAUCAUGUUAUCACUGAGUUCAGACACCAGAAACAGUACUCUCAGUACUAUCGUGCUGCAGAUCCAUCAGAGGUUCUGUGCUUUUAAACUUUUAACGUUAAGUGCUUUUAAAGUUUCUCAUCUCAAAGCUGAAGCUGACGUUCUCUAAUGUUUGAGGCUUCUCCUAAUUUGCAGUCAAUUUUUUUUUCGUUAUGACCAUUUGUCUUUUUGAUUGCGAUUAAUUUUUUAUUCUUUUAAGUUUUAUUUCCUUCUUCUCUUGAUUGCUGAAUGAAUCUGCCCUGCUUCAGGCUAGCAUGGGGAUAGGAGCAGAACAAUAACACCGCUGUUCUUUCACGGAUUAAUUUUGGAUGCACAGUUUAAUUUAUUAAGUAAAUGAAGUACAUCUUUAAUGCUGGAUCUCAGUUUUUCUUCACUAUAAAGUAAAGCUGGUGUAAUCACAGGAGCAGUCUGUGAUUUGAUUAUUUGUCUGUAACUCUGUGUGUUACAGAUCACAAGCAAUGUCUUUAUUGGUCAGAAAAUUGAAACCUGAUAAAAAUAAAUUGAAAAUUUCAGAUCCAUGCCCCCGUUUCCGGUCGUGUUAUCUAAACCGACCCAGUGGGCCAUAUUGGCCUGUUUGGCCGGUCAGUUCUGGCCCAUGUGCCAUAUGUUUGACACCACUGCCUUUGUAAGGCGAACCAUCAUGGAGGCCACGCCCCCUGCGGCUUCAUAUUUGCAGAAAGUGAAGCCGCCUGCACGUGACUGAGUUUACAUUCAUCUGUUUUUAUCCAGAUUAAGAGAGAGCAACAGACCCACUCAUCCACUCAUAAACAUUUCACAGCACUUUUGUGUUUCCAUGUCUACUUCUGCCCACUGACGCAGUGACAGACUCCAUAAUGAAGGAGGUCGAGAUUCUAAAAUGUACCAGGAGGACCAAAGAGAGGAGGUACAGAAGAAAGGCAGUCACU